RNAcentral lists this ribosomal RNA (470 nucleotides) under uncultured bacterium. RNAcentral describes it as "bacterial SSU rRNA". It matches the Rfam family "Bacterial small subunit ribosomal RNA", at positions 29 to 506 of the family's 1533-position model. The record is from RNAcentral.
GUGAACGUUGGCGGUUUGGAUUAGGCAUGCAAGUCGAGCGAAUUAAUAUCAGAGCUUGCUCUGGUAUUAGUUAGCGGCGAACGGGGUAGUAACACGUAUCAAAUCUACCCUCAAGCAAGGAAUAAUUCGGCGAAAGUCGAACUAAUACCUUAUAGCCCGAUACUUCGCAAGAGGUAUCGGUAAAGGAGCAAUCCACUUGAGGAAGAGGGUGCGUCCGAUCAGCUAGUUGGUUGAGGUAACUGCUCACCAAGGCGAAGACCGGUAGGGGACCUGAGAGGGUGACCCCCACCAAAGGCACUGAGACACGGGCCUUACUCCUACGGGAGGCAGCAGCCGAGAAUAUUGCGCAAUGGGCGAAAGCCUGACGCAGCGAAACCGCGUGCCGGAAGAAGCUCUUCGGAGUGUAAACGGCUUUUGUGAGAGAAGAAAUUAUUGACGGUAUCUCACGAAUAAGAGACGACUAACUUCGU